RNAcentral lists this ribosomal RNA (796 nucleotides) under uncultured archaeon. RNAcentral's name for it is "bacterial SSU rRNA". It matches the Rfam family "Archaeal small subunit ribosomal RNA", at positions 85 to 879 of the family's 1478-position model. The record is from RNAcentral.
ACGGCUCAGUAACACGUGGAUAACCUGCCCUUGGGUCCGGCAUAACCCCGGGAAACUGGGGAUAAUUCCGGAUAACGCACAUAUGCUGGAAUGCUUUAUGCGUCAAAUGGAUUCGUCUGCCCAAGGAUGGGUCUGCGGCCUAUCAGGUAGUAGUGGGUGUAAUGUACCUACUAGCCGACGACGGGUACGGGUUGUGAGAGCAAGAGCCCGGAGAUGGAUUCUGAGACAUGAAUCCAGGCCCUACGGGGCGCAGCAGGCGCGAAAACUUUACAAUGCGGGAAACCGUGAUAAGGGGACACCGAGUGCCAGCAUCAUAUGCUGGCUGUCCAGGUGUGUAAAAUACACCUGUUAGCAAGGGCCGGGCAAGACCGGUGCCAGCCGCCGCGGUAACACCGGCGGCCCGAGUGGUGAUCGUGAUUAUUGGGUCUAAAGGGUCCGUAGCCGGUUUGGUCAGUCCUCCGGGAAAUCUGAUAGCUCAACUAUUAGGCUUUCGGGGGAUACUGCCAGACUUGGAACCGGGAGAGGUAAGAGGUACUACAGGGGUAGGAGUGAAAUCUUGUAAUCCCUGUGGGACCACCUGUGGCGAAGGCGUCUUACCAGAACGGGUUCGACGGUGAGGGACGAAAGCUGGGGGCACGAACCGGAUUAGAUACCCGGGUAGUCCCAGCCGUAAACGAUGCUCGCUAGGUGUCAGACAUGGCGCGACCGUGUCUGGUGCCGCAGGGAAGCCGUGAAGCGAGCCACCUGGGAAGUACGGCCGCAAGGCUGAAACUUAAAGGAAUUGGCGGGGGAGCAC